AUCGCUUCUCGGCCUUUUGGCUAAGAUCAAGUGUAGUAUCUGUUCUUAUCAGUUUAAAUGUGAUGCAUACAUAUAGAUAACAACAAUUUUUUAAAAAGGCCAUGAGUUUGAAAGAGAGUCAGGGAAG
This 127-nucleotide small nuclear RNA is filed under the name Peromyscus maniculatus bairdii (prairie deer mouse). RNAcentral describes it as "U2 spliceosomal RNA (ENSPEMG00000026497.1)". The stretch from base 1 to 103 matches the Rfam family "U2 spliceosomal RNA". Rfam says of the family: U2 is a small nuclear RNA (snRNA) component of the spliceosome (involved in pre-mRNA splicing). The record is from RNAcentral. Lineage: Eukaryota; Metazoa; Chordata; Mammalia; Rodentia; Cricetidae.